Molecule: ribosomal RNA, 542 nt
Filed under: uncultured bacterium
Lineage: Bacteria
Description: bacterial SSU rRNA
Rfam family: Bacterial small subunit ribosomal RNA
Source: RNAcentral
CCUACGGGAGGCAGCAGUGAGGAAUUUUCCGCAAUGGGCGAAAGCCCGACGGAGCAAUACCGCGUGAGGGAUGAAGGAUUUUGGUCUGUAAACCUCUUUUCUCAAGAAAGAAGUUCUGACGGUACUUGAGGAAUAAGCAUCGGCUAACUCCGUGCCAGCAGCCGCGGUAAUACGGGGGAUGCAAGCGUUAUCCGGAAUGAUUGGGCGUAAAGCGCCUGUAGGUUGUUUAUUAAGUCCGUUGUUAAAGCCUAGGGCUCAACCCUAGAAAAGCAAUGGAAACUAGUAGACUAGAGUAUGGCAGGGGUAGAGGGAAUUUCUAGUGUAGCGGUGAAAUGCGUAGAUAUUAGAAAGACACCGGUGGCGAAAGCGCUCUACUGGACCAUUACUGACACUCAGAGGCGAAAGCUAGGGUAGCAAAGGGAUUAGAUACCCCUGUAGUCCUAGCCGUAAACGAUGGAUACUAGAUGUUGUGCAUUAUGUACAGUAUCGUAGCUAACGCGUUAAGUAUCCGCCUGGGAGUACGCUCGCAAGGGUGAACUUAA